GUCCACGCCGUAAACGAUGUCGACUAGCCGUUGGGAUCCUUGAGAUCUUAGUGGCGCAGCUAACGCAUUAAGUCGACCGCCUGGGGAGUACGGCCGCAAGGUUAAAACUCAAAUGAAUUGACGGGGCCCGCACAAGCGGUGGAGCAUGUGGUUUAAUUCGAAGCAACGCGAAGAACCUUACCUGGCCUUGACAUGCUGAGAACUUUCCAGAGAUGGAUUGGUGCCUUCGGGAACUCAGACACAGGUGCUGCAUGGCUGUCGU
RNAcentral lists this ribosomal RNA (262 nucleotides) under uncultured bacterium. RNAcentral's name for it is "partial 16S ribosomal RNA". It matches the Rfam family "Bacterial small subunit ribosomal RNA", at positions 793 to 1055 of the family's 1533-position model. The record is from RNAcentral.